UACGUAGGGACCAAGCGUUGUCCGGAAUUAUUGGGCGUAAAGAGCUCGUAGGCGGCUGUCCACGUCGGAUGUGAAAGCUCGGGGCUCAACCCUGAGAGGCCAUUCGAUACGGGAUAGCUAGAGGUAGGUAGGGGAGAUUGGAAUUCCUGGUGUAGCGGUGAAAUGCGCAGAUAUCAGGAGGAACACCGGUGGCGAAGGCGGAUCUCUGGGCCUUACCUGACGCUGAGGAGCGAAAGCUGGGGGAGCAAACAGG
Molecule: ribosomal RNA, 253 nt
Filed under: uncultured bacterium
Lineage: Bacteria
Description: partial 16S ribosomal RNA
Rfam family: Bacterial small subunit ribosomal RNA
Source: RNAcentral